Leucoraja erinaceus (little skate) is the source of this 1140-nucleotide long non-coding RNA. RefSeq lists it as uncharacterized. The transcript has 2 exons. Lineage: Eukaryota; Metazoa; Chordata; Chondrichthyes; Rajiformes; Rajidae. The record is from RefSeq and is a predicted model, not a curated record.
CUCCCACCCAAGAGAAAAUACCUCGCACUGUCCAAUCUCAAAAAUUCCCUGAGAAUUUUACAGAUUUGAAUCAAAUCACUUGUUAUUCUCCUAAAUAAGCAAAGGCCUUGUUGAAGUUUUGAUCCGCUUUCCUAAUUUAAUUGCUCCCUUUACACUUAUAGUAUGCACAUUACCUGUCUUGCCAAGAGACACACAAAGAAUAUGUUCAUCAUUCCAGUCUUUGUAAGGAUGUUCAAGUAAUUUUUAUAGAAAUGAUAGGUUCAGUAUAUAGUUGGACUAGAUAUAUCUCUGCCUCUUCCAGGAGGUUUAAUGACACAAGGGAGUAGGCUAAGGAGAGUGAAUGAGGAUGGUGAUGUCUAGAAGAAUUGAAUAUGUUAGAUGGAUCCACUGGUUUACCCCAGUCUUUUGAUUUUGUGUAACUUAACUCAUCAGAGUCCACUGAGUCCUUGUCCACAGAACUCACAUUUCCCACAACUCUGUUCUCACCCCGUCUCCCAGACUGAGCAAGGAUAGGUUCCUCCAAUCCUUACUUUUCCUCUAACCUACCUUGGGUCAUCCUUGACAGGUUCUGCUACCUUUAAUGAGAUUCCACCACUGGACAUAUUUGUCGCCUCUCUUACCCUUCCAAUAGGACUGUUCCCUCUCUCUGGCAUCCCUCUUCUAUCUCUACUAACCAUUCUCUUUCUCAUUACGCUUUUCCACAAAACUAUGUGAAAUGACACUUAUCACUUUAAUUCAUUCUCCAACCGACUCCCACUCUGACCAAUCUGUCUGUGGUUUGUUGCACUUUUUUAACAAGGCCCUGAAUAAAUUCAUAUGCAGCUUAAUACAAAGCAUGUGGCGCACUCUUGUGGACCUAGGUUGGUGGACAACACCUCAUCUUCCAUCUGGGCAUGUUGCAGUCUUCCUGUCUCAAUAUUAAAUUCCAUAACUACAGUCAAACAGAAGGUGCACAAGCUGGGACAUUGAUUCUUUCACUCUCUGCCUUUACUGAGUGUUUCUAUUUUUAACUCGGAGUGCUAGGACAAAAAUGGCAAAGGGUGCACUGGUGUUAAUACAAAUACACGUAAAUAUCCGAAGAUGAGGACAUGAUUGUGAAUUAUUUCAGGAUGGAAAAAAAUAAAAUUAUAUUUUACACAA